CAGUCGCCACGGUAACACGGAGGGUGCAAGCGUUAAUCGGAAUUACUGGGCGUAAAGCGCACGCAGGCGGUCUGACAAGUCAGAUGUGAAAUCCCCGGGCUUAACCUGGGAACUGCAUUUGAAACUGUCAGGCUGGAGUCUUGUAGAGGGGGGUAGAAUUCCAGGUGUAGCGGUGAAAUGCGUAGAGAUCUGGAGGAAUACCGGUGGCGAAGGCGGCCCCCUGGACAAAGACUGACGCUCAGGUGCGAAAGCGUGGGGAGCAAACAGGAUUAGAUACCCGAGUAGUCCCUGUCUCUUAUAC
RNAcentral lists this ribosomal RNA (301 nucleotides) under uncultured bacterium. Its description in RNAcentral is "partial 16S ribosomal RNA". It matches the Rfam family "Bacterial small subunit ribosomal RNA", at positions 509 to 807 of the family's 1533-position model. The record is from RNAcentral.